Polypterus senegalus (gray bichir) is the source of this 738-nucleotide long non-coding RNA. RefSeq lists it as uncharacterized. The record is from RefSeq and is a predicted model, not a curated record. NCBI's taxonomy places the organism in Eukaryota, Metazoa, Chordata, Cladistia, Polypteriformes, Polypteridae. The transcript has 3 exons.
CUUACGAACUGAUAAGGACAACACAAUGAAGAGCACAGCUCGGCAGCCAUCCUGAGACAGGUUGUGUUGUUCACACCCUCCUGGAGGGACAGGGGAACUCAAUGGAGAGGUUGGAUGAUAAGGCGUAUGGAAAGAUCAAGCAGUGGCUGGUGGUCAAAAGCUUUAAGACAACCUAAACCUGUGAAAAGAGCUGGCCAUUCCUGAAGACCAUGUUUGGUGACAGUGAAGACAGCUGACCCAUCAGUGUCUAGGAGUGCAAAUCCCAAAGCUGUAAAUAAGACGAGGUCUAACAAGCUGCACCAUAGGAAGAAAAGUGAAAUAUGAAAUCAGUGUGCCGUAAUUCACAUGGUGUGAAGAUUUGCACGCCACCCCACUCUGUUUGGACCAUGCCUCAACUUCAAGGUCUUUUAGUGAACUCCUUCCUAUUGUGCUCCUGCAGUCUUCUGUGAUUGUCCGAAGAUAUUGUGUGGAUGGUCGGUACCUCCAAACUUCUAUUCUGUCAUGGUCCUAUAACAGCAAAUGAUCAAAGACAAAAUCUCCAACAUUUUUUUAUUAAACACAAUGUGUACCAAAGAAGAAAUCUGAUGGACCUAUUUAAUUAUUUAUUUUGAAUGUUCAUAAUGACCCACUUGCAUGGAGAAUAGCGACAAUCUUUACCUUUUCAUGAACUGGGAGGUUUCUUGUAUUUCUCAUAAACAAUGGUUAAAAUGAUAUAAUUAAAACCCUUUAUCAACCAGA